RNAcentral lists this ribosomal RNA (627 nucleotides) under uncultured Russulaceae. RNAcentral describes it as "LSU rRNA". It matches the Rfam family "Eukaryotic large subunit ribosomal RNA", at positions 47 to 649 of the family's 3401-position model. Lineage: Eukaryota; Fungi; Basidiomycota; Agaricomycetes; Russulales; Russulaceae. The record is from RNAcentral.
UAAGCGGAGGAAAAGAAACUAACAAGGAUUCCCCUAGUAACUGCGAGUGAAGCGGGAAAAGCUCAAAUUUAAAAUCUGGUGGUCUUUGGCCAUCCGAGUUGUAAUUUAGAGAAGCGUCUUCCGCGCUGGACCGUGCACAAGUCUCCUGGAAUGGAGCGUCACAGAGGGUGAGAAUCCCGUCUUUGGCAUGGACAUACCAGGGCUUUUGUGAUGCGCUCUCGAAGAGUCGAGUUGUUUGGGAAUGCAGCUCAAAAUGGGUGGUGAACUCCAUCUAAAGCUAAAUAUUGGCGAGAGACCGAUAGCGAACAAGUACCGUGAGGGAAAGAUGAAAAGCACUUUGGAAAGAGAGUGAAACAGUACGUGAAAUUGUUGAAAGGGAAACGCUUGAAGUCAGUCGCGUCGACCGAGACUCAGCCUCGCCUCGGCUUGGUGUACUUCUCGGCUGACGGGUCAGCAUCAAUUUCGCCUCUUGGAUAAUGGCGAGGGAAAUGUGACACCUUUACGGUGUGUUAUAGUCUCUCGUCGCAUGCAAGGGUCGGGAUUGAGGAACUCAGCACGCGCCUUUGGGUGUCGGGGCUUUGCCCACGAUACGUGCUUAGGAUGUUGGCGUAAUGGCUUUAAACGACC